RNAcentral lists this ribosomal RNA (497 nucleotides) under uncultured bacterium. RNAcentral describes it as "partial 16S ribosomal RNA". It matches the Rfam family "Bacterial small subunit ribosomal RNA", at positions 28 to 507 of the family's 1533-position model. The record is from RNAcentral.
GAUGAACGCUGGCGGCGUGCCUAAUACAUGCAAGUCGAGCGAACGGACGAGGAGCUUGCUUCUCUGAUGUUAGCGGCGGACGGGUGAGUAACACGUGGAUAACCUACCUAUAAGACUGGGAUAACUUCGGGAAACCGGAGCUAAUACCGGAUAAUAUUUUGAACCGCAUGGUUCAAAAGUGAAAGACGGUCUUGCUGUCACUUAUAGAUGGAUCCGCGCUGCAUUAGCUAGUUGGUAAGGCAACGGCUUACCAAGGCAACGAUGCAUAGCCGACCUGAGAGGGUGAUCGGCCACACUGGAACUGAGACACGGUCCAGACUCCUACGGGAGGCAGCAGUAGGGAAUCUUCCGCAAUGGGCGAAAGCCUGACGGAGCAACGCCGCGUGAGUGAUGAAGGUCUUCGGAUCGUAAAACUCUGUUAUUAGGGAAGAACAUAUGUGUAAGUAACUGUGCACAUCUUGACGGUACCUAAUCAGAAAGCCACGGCUAACUACGUG